GACAAUGAACUGAGACAUCUGCAGACAGAAGGUAGGAGACAUGCUGCUCAACUGUACAGAUGGGAUCAUAGAAAAGGCAGCAAAAAGCAUAGCCAGCCAGCCCUGUUUCUUCCCUCAGCUGCUGAUCUAGGUAACCAGAAUGCUAGGAAGCCAGUGAGAUGCAAGAGAUCCUGGCCCAUCCCUGAAAGGAAAAGUGCCUCCUCAGCCAGACCAACCAAACCUCACUGAGAGAGGCAGCUGCAGGCACCAGUGACAAGGCUCUGGCAGUAGCCUUCAGUUUCACACAAGUAAAAUUCAAAUGUGGCCAAGGUCUCAUGGUAGGCUGAAAUCUAUGAGGUAAUUAGGCCACAAGGGCUUCUCCAUCACAAACAGAGGUUCUGGUGGCCAGCCAUGGCUAUAGCUUGUCUGGCAUUGUGUACUCCUACGAAGUUGGUGGAAGGUUCUAAGACCCUGGAGGCAAGGCAGGGCAGAGCAGCUCUUCUUGAGGUACCAGAGGCUUUGUGAUCCUACAGCCCCCAGGUCAGCUUUUUGCCCUUAUGGGUUACUCAAGCCUCUAAGUAUUACACAGACCAUAACCACCAAAAGCAUAUGGACACAUGGGUAACAGCAGAAGGAUGAUCGAGGGCAGGACUCUUCAACCUGCCAUCCCCAAUGCCCUCUUCUGAGCUAUUUCUAUAAGGUUUGCCCUAUCCUGUAACUCUUUCAGGCUUCAGAGUCAAGACCAAGCAAUUAUGGUAUAAGGUCACAGAAAAGGAAGACAGAAGCCACUGACACAGCUACUUCAAGGAAGUGCCCCAAACAGGGCAGGGUCUCUCCAUCCCUAACAGUCUGUGACCCUGUUAUGUCUACCUAAGUUUUUUGAAUGGUCUUUGUUCAACGGCCACAGUCGGCUGGAUGAACCUCUUACCCAGAGGAUGCUCUGUGAACCUCCACACAAAGCACCACAUGAAAGGGCACAGCACUGUCCGCCUUAGAUUCAACACCACCCACGUGACCAGUGCUCAAGACGCAGGACUUCCAGAAAGAGGUGACAUUUUCUUGCUUCUGUUCAUUCUUGUGCUACAUUUACCGUCCUUCCUGAGCCGUCUGACCAGUUUCUAACCUAGAUUUAAGAGCCCUUCAUGAUAUUCUGAGCAUUGGUCUCCAACCCUAUCAUGGCCCACUUUUCACACAGCUCUUUACAGGUCUGUUAACUUGAACACACUACGAACCCUUUCAAUGAAUGAAGUUUAGAAUCUGGGGGCUGGUGAGAUGGCUUAGUGGACAAAGGACAUCACCAAGCUUCAUGGUCUGAGUCUGAUUCCAAGGACCUCCACACACGUCAUGGCACCCCUCUGUCAACUUUUAGUUUAAAUAAAUGUUUAGUGUCCUGAUGGGUGGUGACAGAAACUGAGAGGAUGGAGCAAGCAGCUACCAGGAGACAGCACAGAAAGACAACCAUAGUCUGAUCAGAGGACCUGAGACCUAAGAGUUCUGACCUUAAAGGUUUCUCUAAGACAACGAUCUCAGUCUUGUUUAUCUCAAGGGCUGUUGUAAUAGAUACCAGAGUGCUUACCAGUCAUAAAGGACAUACCAAUGUGUCAUCAUAAGCAACCACACUGUCAAAUGAUGCAAGUAAGGGAGCGCUUACUGCAGUAAGCCUAACACGGGCCAUAGCUCUCUGCUGUCUGAGACGCUAUAGGAGGCCCAUCGUGAAACAGCAAACAUGUUGGCAGAUGGCCUCCUCUCAGGUCAGGAAGAGACAGUUAUGGAAUUCUUGAGAGGUAAAGCAGUACUUUGGGCCAAAAGAUACAAGCUUCAGACAAGACAGACGCACAUACUUAAGCAAGGACUUGCUGUCCGCAUCUUCCAAGCCUUACCUCUUUUCUGAAUACUUCUUUGCUUUUCUUUGCCAGCUCACUGGAGGUGUCUGCUUCUGCUGUCUUGGGCUUUUUUGAUGUCUAGAAUGAGAAAACAAUAGUGCUGACAUGAGGUGUCAGUUUGGUGAUGCCCUACUGUUCCAGAACUCACAUUUCUUUCCCCUAGUAGGGCUACACCUAGUAGGACAAGGUCUGAAGGCUCCUCGGCUAACAGUUUCAGAAUCGACCACUGAGUCUGGCCUCCUUGUAAGCCUAAUCACUGUCUCGCUCCACGGUCAGCAUUCCAGAACAAAGUGCCCCGUCCUAAAGAUCCUUGGUGCUCACACCUUUCCUUCCAAAGAGGAGCUGCCUAGACUACAUACGACAAUCUCAACACAAGAAACAAGAGACCCUGUCUCAAAAAAGUUCCAAAUAAACAAAACCAAGGAGUUAUGUACGACUGUGUAGACAUGGCAUGAGUGCCGUGCAUGUGAACAGAUGAGUAGAUGCUAAGACCACCAAUACCUUUUUUCCGAGUUGAUGAUAAAUAAAUUCAGAAAUACACCUUUCUAGCAAUGCCAGAGGGGAGGAUACCAAAUUCCUCUACCCAGGCAAGACCAAGAGGUCAUGAGCUAUCAGCCCCAGCAUAUAAGCCAUAUGCACAUAACUAGAAUGCCCUUCCCAUGGAAAAAUGAUCAUUAACAUUGCUCUUGGAAUAUAAAUUUCCACGCUCUAGGAAUACCAGCUGGUGCUUACAGGGUUUCAAAAAAAAAAAAAAAAAGAGAAAA
Long non-coding RNA from Rattus norvegicus (Norway rat), 2626 nucleotides. RefSeq lists it as uncharacterized. NCBI's taxonomy places the organism in Eukaryota, Metazoa, Chordata, Mammalia, Rodentia, Muridae. The record is from RefSeq and is a predicted model, not a curated record.